GAAACUUGUGAGAUAAAGCUUGGAUACUUGUGACUAUAGAAAUACUGUUAGACAAAAGGCAAAUUUGAGCAGUUUUUAAAUUCAAGUUAAAAAUGGGUCAUUAAACAGCAGAGACGACUUGCAACAUCAACAACACAUUUGUCCCAAGAAGUGCUAGUGAAGGAAUAGUGGUGGUUCAAGAAGUUUU
This is a long non-coding RNA of Cervus elaphus (red deer), 187 nucleotides long. RefSeq lists it as uncharacterized. Lineage: Eukaryota; Metazoa; Chordata; Mammalia; Artiodactyla; Cervidae. The record is from RefSeq and is a predicted model, not a curated record. The transcript has 4 exons.